RNAcentral lists this ribosomal RNA (845 nucleotides) under Abedus breviceps. Its description in RNAcentral is "bacterial SSU rRNA". It matches the Rfam family "Eukaryotic small subunit ribosomal RNA", at positions 395 to 1139 of the family's 1831-position model. Lineage: Eukaryota; Metazoa; Arthropoda; Insecta; Hemiptera; Belostomatidae. The record is from RNAcentral.
CCUGAGAAACGGCUACCACAUCCAAGGAAGGCAGCAGGCACGCAAAUUACCCACUCCCGGCACGGGGAGGUAGUGACAAAAAAUAACGAUACGGGACUCAUCCGAGGCCCCGUAAUCGGAAUGAGAACACUCUAAAUCAUUUAACAAGGACCUAUUGGAGGGCAAGUCUGGUGCCAGCAGCCGCGGUAAUUCCAGCUCCAAUAGCGUAUAUUAAAGUUGUUGCGGUUAAAAAGCUCGUAGUUGGUUCUGCGUCCCACGCUGUCGGUUCACCGCCUGUCGGUGCAACUGGCACGCCGUGGGAUGUCCUGUCGGUGGCGGCCGCGGCCCGGCGGUCGAGGGGUAAGAUCCGAAUGGGUCCGAACCCUCACCCCGGGAUCCGGUCGCCUAACUAAUCCCGCCGCGGUGCUCUUAACUGAGUGUCGAGGUGGGCCGACACGUUUACUUUGAACAAAUUAGAGUGCUCAAAGCAGGCUGAAUUCCGCCUGAAUAGUGGUGCAUGGAAUAAUUGAAUAGGACCUCGGUUCUAUUUUGUUGGUUUUCGGAAUCCGAGGUAAUGAUCAAUAUGGACAGGCGGGGGCAUUCGUAUUGCGGCGUUAGCUUGGCAAAUGCUUUCGCNNNGAAAUUCUUGGAUCGUCGCAAGACGGACUAGAGCGAAAGCAUUUGCCAAGUAUGUCUUAGUUGAUCAAGAACGAAAGUUAGAGGUUCGAAGGCGAUCAGAUACCGCCCUAGUUCUAACCAUAAACGAUGCCAGCCAGCGAUCCGCCGAUGUUCCUCCGAUGACUCGGCGGGCAGCUUCCGGGAAACCAAAGCUUUUGGGUUCCGGGGGAANUAUGGUUGCAAAGCUG